Long non-coding RNA from Manduca sexta (tobacco hornworm), 1462 nucleotides. RefSeq lists it as uncharacterized. The record is from RefSeq and is a predicted model, not a curated record. The transcript has 2 exons. NCBI's taxonomy places the organism in Eukaryota, Metazoa, Arthropoda, Insecta, Lepidoptera, Sphingidae.
AUUAACAUAAACGAUUAUUUUACCUACAAUUAAACAUAUUUAAGAAAGUAAUAUAAGAUUUGACUGACUAAUAUAAGAUUUACUGCCUCGGUGGCGUAGUUGUACGGCAUGCGCGGUACGGCAGCUCUCUGAGGUCCUGGGUUCGGAUCCCGGGUCGGGCAAAGUGAUAUUUGGGUUUUUCUGCUCAGUAUCAGCCCGGAGUCUGGAAUUUGUGCCCGAUAUGGCGAAAGGCUUGCCCCCUAUCACAUCAUGGGACGGAACACACUUGGCGAAAAGUGGACCACGGUGGGUCAUUCCGCCAUUUCGUGCAAAUUACAUUUCCAGCCAAAUUAAACCAUGUAGGAAUACCUGCAUUUAACAGAAUUAUAUUCGAAUGGACAACAAAUCAAGUACUUAAAAAGGAGUAUCAUCCAAAAGUUAGAAUUUUUAGUUUAUUUUCAAAUUAUGAUAGUUUAAUUCCCAAAAAUCUCAUUACACUCUGUGUCCAAUCAGUGACAAAGUUGCAUUUUACAUGUUUAUUAAUUUUUUGUUGACUAGCUAACUUCCAAUUCUUCGAUAAUACAUUUGUUUAAUUCCUUACUAAUUCAUUAGUAAUAUUUGUAAAAUUAUAAACAUAUUAUAAAUUAUUAAAAAAAGGACUUUAAAUUUUGUCACGUAAAAAAAAUCAUCACUAUCCAGAGUCAAAAUCGUUCCAUUCUAAUGCGCGUUUAUAAAUCCCCACCCGUGAGUCAUGACGCAAAUUGUUCGUACUGGUCAGUUAGCCUCGUCAGCAAAGCCAAGUGCACGUGUCUCCCUCGCUUUUGAAAUUAUAUACAUUCUUCGUGCCUUCAAAAGCCUUUCGUCCAAAUAUUAUUUCAUCACAUUCCGUCGAAUUUGAAAAGUUCAGCGCAAAAUGACGAAGAUGGACCGACUUCACGAAUCUAAAAAAUACACAUCAAUUAAAAGGAUCCCUGAACUAUAUGCCAUCGAAAAUAGAAAGAAAGAACAAGAUAUUUGGCCACAAAAGCUAAUAAUAAGAUUUGCAGUAUUAAGGAAAUGACUCCCAGAGCACAAAGAUCAGAGAAAAUACAGAAAAUUAUUUAAAAAGGAAAUUAGAAAAGUAUUGAGAUGGUACUGGUAGAAAACUCCGCUUCUAGUAUGGCUGAUUUUAUUAUACAGAGAGCAGACCCGUUAAAAAUAAUAGAAGUAACUAAGCAACUAACUAACUCCAAGCAGUAGUAAAGUUCCCCAACAGUCGUGAGCCACAAAUGUAAUAAGACGAAUGCGUUACAACCAUCUUAAGAUCGUUAAGUAACCCUUAUCAGCAGUGUUGAUCGCCUGCUCUCACGAUGGGUCGAACAAUAUUUGAACUUAUAUUCUCGAUCCGUGGAUAUCCAACUAGAAGCAAUAGACUGCAUACCGAUAUUGGCUACCUUAAACGAACUCGAUGAACCACCUACACACGAAUACAAGAAUUUCAAAA